CGCGCGGGAUUUAAACUGCGGCGGUUUACGCGGCGUUGAGACUUAGGGUUAGCGAAAUUGAGGUUUCUUGGCAUUGCGCGUUUCUCUUCCUUGCUGACCCUCCGAAUGGCCAUGGACUCGUCGCUUCAGGCCCGCCUGUUUCCCGGUCUCGCUAUCAAGAUCCAACGCAGUAAUGGUUUAAUUCACAGUGCCAAUGUAAGGACUGUGAACCUGGAGAAAUCCUGUGUUUCAGUGGAAUGGGCAGAAGGAGGUGCCACAAAGGGCAAAGAGAUUGAUUUUGAUGAUGUGGCUGCAAUAAACCCAGAACUCUUACAGCUUCUUCCCUUACAUCCGAAGGACAAUCUGCCCCUGCAGGAAAAUGUAACAAUCCAGAAACAAAAACGGAGAUCCGUCAACUCCAAAAUUCCUGCUCCAAAAGAAAGUCUUCGAAGCCGCUCCACUCGCAUGUCCACUGUCUCAGAGCUUCGCGUCACCGCUCAGGAGAAUGACAUGGAGGUGGAGCUGCCUGCAGCUGCAAACACCCGCAAGCAGUUUUCAGUUCCUCUUCGGAGGAAAUCAUGUCUUGUGAAGGAAGUGGAAAAAAUGAAGAACAAGCGAGAAGAGAAGAAGGCCCAGAACUCUGAAAUGAGAAUGAAGAGAGCUCAGGAGUAUGACAGUAGUUUUCCAAACUGGGAAUUUGCCCGAAUGAUUAAAGAAUUUCGGGCUACUUUGGAAUGUCAUCCACUUACUAUGACUGAUCCUAGAGCACCCCCUGAAAUACUCUCCUUCUGCAGAAUUGGCCAAGAAAGAAAUUGAUGUGAUUUCCAUUCCUAGCAAGUGUCUCCUCUUGGUACAUGAACCCAAGUUGAAAGUGGACUUAACAAAGUAUCUGGAGAACCAAGCAUUCUGCUUUGACUUUGCAUUUGAUGAAACAGCCUCAAAUGAAGUUGUCUACAGGUUCACAGCAAGGCCACUGGUACAGGCAAUCUUUGAAGGUGGAAAAGCAACUUGUUUUGCAUAUGGCCAGACAGGAAGUGGCAAAACACAUACUAUGGGCGGAGACCUCUCUGGGAAAGCCCAGAAUGCAUCCAAAGGGAUCUAUGCCAUGG
This 1088-nucleotide small RNA is filed under the name Pongo abelii (Sumatran orangutan). Its description in RNAcentral is "processed transcript". Lineage: Eukaryota; Metazoa; Chordata; Mammalia; Primates; Hominidae. The record is from RNAcentral.